This 63-nucleotide transfer RNA is filed under the name Halipeurus diversus. Its description in RNAcentral is "tRNA-Ala". The record is from RNAcentral. Lineage: Eukaryota; Metazoa; Arthropoda; Insecta; Psocodea; Philopteridae.
GGAGUCAUAGUUUAUUUUUAAAAUGUUCUUUUUGCAAAAGUAAGAAACUUUAUGUUGACUUUA